RNAcentral lists this microRNA precursor (126 nucleotides) under Brassica carinata (Ethiopian mustard). RNAcentral's name for it is "MIR9563 microRNA precursor family". It matches the Rfam family "MIR9563 microRNA precursor family". Lineage: Eukaryota; Viridiplantae; Streptophyta; Magnoliopsida; Brassicales; Brassicaceae. The record is from Rfam by way of RNAcentral. RNAcentral also lists the same sequence under 1 other name.
GGAAUAUAAGAACCCGUCUCUUAACUUUUAACUAAAAAAAGCUAAGAACCGGUUCUUAAAUAAGAGUUUUAAGAGCCGGCUCUUAACUUUUUUAGUUAAAAGUUAAGAGACGGGUUAUUAUAUUCC